This 355-nucleotide ribosomal RNA is filed under the name uncultured bacterium. RNAcentral's name for it is "bacterial SSU rRNA". It matches the Rfam family "Bacterial small subunit ribosomal RNA", at positions 70 to 422 of the family's 1533-position model. The record is from RNAcentral.
CAUGGUGUAGCAAUACACUGAUGGCGACCGGCAAACGGGUGCGGAACACGUACGCAACCUUCCUUUAACUGGAGAAUAGCCCGGGGAAACCCGGAUUAAUACUCCGUAACAUUAUGAAGUGGCAUCACUUUAUAAUUAUAGCUCCGGCGGUUGAAGAUGGGCGUGCGUCUGAUUAGGUAGUUGGCGGGGUAACGGCCCACCAAGCCUACGAUCAGUAACUGGUGUGAGAGCACGACCAGUCACACGGGCACUGAGACACGGGCCCGACUCCUACGGGAGGCAGCAGUAAGGAAUAUUGGUCAAUGGACGCAAGUCUGAGCCAGCCAUGCCGCGUGGAGGAUGAAGGUCCUCUGGA